GUACAAGUUAUAAGUAAAUUUUUGUCCAUUUUUGUACAAAUUGUAAUUUGUACAAGCACUUUUUGUACAAAUUACAAUUUGUACAAAGUCAAAAUACAAAUUACAAUUUGUACAAAGUCAAAAUACAAAUUAUAAUUCGUACAAUAUUUUUGUACAAAUUAUAAUUUGUACAAAAUGAUAACUUGUACACAACAUAUACAGCACGAUGGUCAUUUCACAUGCAAGUACUAGAAACUCGAACUUAAGAUAUAACACAAAGACAAUAAUGAUCAGUUGUAUUUCAAUUUGAUUCUUCUUUUUUUUAAAUCAAGUAGCAUUAAUGUAGAGAUGUUUAGAACAAAUUAUAUAUCACCAAAUAGUCCUUUUUCAUACAAAAUAAAUAGUCAGUUUGAUUUUUUUUUCACAUAAAUAUUUAGUUUUUCUUUUUAAUUUGUAUUCUCUCGCAAUUGAACUAUACAAUAAAUCAAAACACAUGAAAUAAUUUGCAGCAGAAACACUCUAAAUUUUCUUAGAUUAAUAUGUUUAUUGUAAAAAAAUGUUAAAUGCAUUUGAUUCAAAUAAUUUGACAUUGCAUCUCUGCAUUGUAACAAUAAUAACUUCCAUGACUUUGAUUAGUAUGCAAUAUGUUUAUUUCAAAAGAUUUGAACAAAACAUAAAAAUUUGAUCAUCAAUACCAUUUCUCUAAAAGAUAUAUUUUUUAUAAAAUCAUAUCGUCGUGCUAUUGAAUGUUUCAGAUAAAUGAUAAGUUCAUUUAGAUUAUAUAUUUUUUUUAUUUUUGGGUGUUUUGUUUUUCUUCUUCAUCUGUUUUUAAAUUUAUAAAUAUAUAUUCAUAUGUGUGUUUGAGUGUUUGUGUGCAAUUUCUGUGGAUAUGUGUUACCAAUAUGACGUAUUGUCAGAACUUUUAUAUAGCCUUUUCAUUUAUGUUUCAUAUUAUUAAGUGUUGUUAUCAUUUAUACACGCUUAAAGAACUACAAAUAUGAGUAACGAUAUUGAUAUUUGAAGUGGUGAAAUAUUUGCAUCUUUUUUUUAAAGAUAUAAUGUCAUCCUUUAAGUAAUCACUUAUUUAAUCAAAACACCACUUAAAAAUGUGAAGAUAAAACACACGUCUAGUGUACUUAAUCAUAAGCCUUAUGUCUUUAAUGGUAGUUCUUUUUAGUCGCUGCAAACAACUUUACAAUUGCUCUGAUUUAAUAUAUUUCGUUAUAGUUUUAGUGUUCUAUGUAAUUAACAACUUAUGUACUGAUAAACAUUAAUCAAAAUUUGUCCAUUAUAGUGUUGAUGUAAACUUUUUAACAGACUGAUGAAUAAAUUAAUUAUGAACCGCCGUCUUCGUCAGAAAGGUCGAUGACGUUUUUUGAGUCGUAACAAAAUAGUUUUACAACUGAAUACUGCAGUACUUAAUGAUAUACUUAGGUCAAGUUUAGCAAUUUUUGUCAGAUAUUCGGACUAAUUUGAUUUUCUGCCAUGAAACAGGAUUAAAUAUUUACCUCAUAAAACCCAUUUUUCCUUGUGUACAAGACAUUUAUAGCUCAUAAAAGUUCAUUUACUAAGACUUCAGCAGAUUAAGAUUUAUUUAUUUCGAUUUGAGACCCGAAUAAUACUAAUGCAAAUAUAAGGUUACAGUCCGAGUCAGUCUUUUCCCACCAUUUGAAAAAAAAUCUCGAAAAGGAGCUCUUUAAACUAAUAAUAUAUUUAGCUUAACUUAUUUCUUAUGCCCUCCUGACUUAUAGUAUCAAUUCUAAAUUCUACAUAUUUUUCAAUUUCACCUCAGUUCAUUCUUUAAUUAUACUGAAACAAGAAAUAAAAAUUUCGAUUUUUGUUUUCCUUUUAACCAUAUAAUAGUACAAAAACCUCUGCAUUCUUAAAUGAUA
RNAcentral lists this long non-coding RNA (1871 nucleotides) under Mytilus galloprovincialis (Mediterranean mussel). The record is from RNAcentral. Lineage: Eukaryota; Metazoa; Mollusca; Bivalvia; Mytilida; Mytilidae.